This 77-nucleotide microRNA precursor is filed under the name Anolis carolinensis (green anole). RNAcentral describes it as "Aca-Let-7-P2b1_pre stem-loop". It matches the Rfam family "let-7 microRNA precursor family", at positions 7 to 78 of the family's 84-position model. From Rfam's summary of the family: This family represents the microRNAs (miRNA) let-7 and mir-98. let-7 was identified from a study of developmental timing in C. elegans, and was later shown to be part of a much larger class of non-coding RNAs termed miRNAs. The extents of the hairpin precursors are not generally known and are estimated based on hairpin prediction. The record is from RNAcentral. RNAcentral also lists the same sequence under 1 other name. Lineage: Eukaryota; Metazoa; Chordata; Lepidosauria; Squamata; Anolidae.
UGAGGUAGUAGAUUGUAUAGUUGUAGGGCAGUUAUUUUGCCCUCUUCAGGAGAUAACUAUACAAUCUAUUGCCUUCC